AAUUCCGGAUUCCGGAUUCCGGUCCGGACCGGACAAAAAUCGGAAAAUUCAGGUCUAGACCUGAAAUCCGGUUAAAAUAUAGAAGUACUCCGUAAAAUUCUAUUUGGGCUUUGCACACUAUGAUUCCUGACAACCUACAUAACCCUAAUACUCUUUACCUCUCCAGCCUCCUUCUACCUCUCUCCUACUACCUCCUCAUUCUCUCUCCAGCCUCCUUCUACCUCCCUCAUUCUCUCUCCUCAAUUAAAUUGAGCACCACCUACAACUCUACAAGGAUGAAACCAUGAGCACCAUCUGCGACCACCUGGGACACCGCCAAUCGGUCGUCGACCACGCACGACGCCAUCGGCGCACCGCUCUCCUUCUCGAUCUGCUUCUUAUUCGCUAAUUUGUAACUAAGUUAUCUUAAGAAGAAUGGUUUAGAGUAUCUACUUACCAAAACAAAAUGUUCAACUAGAAAUCAAUUUUAAGAUUUAAAAAAUGGGUUAAAAAUAUGUGGGUUUCUUUUCUAUACAAAAUUCAGGAAAUGGGAUUUGUAAAAUAGAAUUUUUAUUGCUUUUGAUGAUUCUUAACUAAUGAAAUUGUUGGUUCAAGUGAAUAGAUUUUUGGUACUGAAACGAAAAUUGCAAAAUUAACAAAAAAAAAACAGGGUCCAACAGGUCAAAACCCGGUUCGGACCGGAAUUUUCAGGUCCGGACCGGUCUCCGGACACACAAAUUCGUGUAUUCCGGUUCUGGUCUGGACCGGGCCGUACUUGGACCGGUGAACAGUCCUAUAUACAUAUAAUGUAGGUUUGGUGGUAAAUAUGGUCUUCCUACAUAUAAUGUGUUCCGGUGUUGAAACAGUGGAAACAAUGGGCUUCGAAUGAAGGCCCUUUUGAGUGUGUUGAAGAUCUUGCUAGCUUGAAUGAGUUGAAUCCGAAUUCACCUGCACAAUGACAGAGUUACUAGCCUCGGGGGUGUUUCCGAGGAAAGCCCCUCCGAUGCCUAAGUAUGAACGAUGCUCGGAUUCUAGAGAGAGGUUCUCUAGAGAAUAGUCUUAAGGCGAUAAAUUGGACGUACCUCGAGGUGUGAGCCUUGGCGGUUUAUUUAUAGUGUUUGCAUAAUAAAUGCCCAUAGGUCAUUUAUUGCCAGUGGGCCUUGGGCCUUGGUUGAUGGCUAAACAUCCAUUUUGGAGUGUAGUGGGUUUGAUGUUGUUGUAUUGAGCCUUUGGGCUUUGGACUUAGUGGCCCAAUUGACAGCCAAUUGGGAGCCCAAACAUAAUGCAUCUUAUCAAAGUAAUUAAUGUCCCUUAAUUGGCUCAUAGUAAACCAACCAAGAGAAAAAUAAAUAAAAUGGAAGUCGAAAACGCUUCGUCUAUCGGAACAAAAAGGUGUAGAACUUACGAUGACGUCAGCUAUUUUGGGGGGCAAAGCCAUUGUUAUCGGCUCAUCAUUGAGUAUGAGCUGUUUACACUCCUGCCGUUAAACCCUCUUUUUCUUCUUAAUGGCAGCAACGUACAACCACUACAAAAUGGGCACAGAAGACCAUCACUCUCUAUCCUCGCCCUCUUGGCUGCCAUCUCAUCACCUAUAAGAUAACUCUUUAUUUGGCAAACGGUGAAGUCGGCUUAUUUGGGGAAGCACAUGACGUAUCGAGUUAUACUAUAUUAGUUGUUUCGUUGUUGCAUUGUAGUAGUUAAUUAGUUAUUUAUCUUGUCAGAUGCAGAUUAUUAGAUAAUAUUUUGUUAAGUUUUUAAGACUAUUACACAAUUAUAUAUAUCACCUAUGUAAUGACUUAUGACUUACUCUGUAUGAGUUAUUUAUUUAUAAUAUUUAUUUUUAUCAUAUAA
Long non-coding RNA from Spinacia oleracea (spinach), 1830 nucleotides. RefSeq lists it as uncharacterized. The record is from RefSeq and is a predicted model, not a curated record. The transcript is spliced from 2 exons. NCBI's taxonomy places the organism in Eukaryota, Viridiplantae, Streptophyta, Magnoliopsida, Caryophyllales, Amaranthaceae.